UGGAUACUGUGCCGGGCCAAGUUCGGCGGUGACGACCGGCAACAUGGAGCGGCCGCCAUCUCUCCUCCCGCCGCCGCAGUCAGUGGCAGCACCGGCGUCGGGAGAGCGGCGCUGGGGAUUUACUCAGACCCGCGCCAAAUCCGCUGAUGUAUUUAUUUGCUUCACUCCGGGGUCCCCCCAGCUUAGUGCGCCAGUACAUUUUGUGGCUGGAUUAUGGUGGAUUUUGCAUCCGUCUGAAGCCCCAGCCUCAAAUAUGUUGAGUGUUCAAACAUUUGAGACUUUAGAGAGAAAUACCAGAACAGAUUCUCAGGGUUAGUUAGUCGUGGGAUAGAUGUGUGAUUUAUGUAUUUAGAGCAAGUGUUUUUUUUUAACCUUAUGUGUAUCAGUAAGCUUGAAUUCUUGUUCUUCAUAGCCAUGUUCUUAGCCUUAACUCCACCAGCGAUGAAUAUUCUUAUCUUAUUCAGCCUAAUUAACAGAUCUACCUACUUUGAUCUAGGCCACUCACUCUGAAUGGGAGACCCACCAUUUAGUCGGCGUGUACUGAUUUUGCUUUACAAACAGUUAAGAAGACUAACACCACUCGAGAG
This 587-nucleotide long non-coding RNA is filed under the name Hordeum vulgare. Its description in RNAcentral is "long non-coding RNA (HVUL_LNC011198)". The record is from RNAcentral. Lineage: Eukaryota; Viridiplantae; Streptophyta; Magnoliopsida; Poales; Poaceae.